This 707-nucleotide ribosomal RNA is filed under the name Diversispora versiformis. RNAcentral's name for it is "eukaryotic LSU rRNA". It matches the Rfam family "Eukaryotic large subunit ribosomal RNA", at positions 65 to 626 of the family's 3401-position model. The record is from RNAcentral. Lineage: Eukaryota; Fungi; Glomeromycota; Glomeromycetes; Diversisporales; Diversisporaceae.
CUAACAAGGAUUCCCCUAGUAACGGCGAGUGAAGAGGGAAAAGCUCAAAUUUUAAAUCUACCUGGUUCCCAGGUCGAAUUGUAUUUUGAAGAAUCGAUAUCGGUGUUGAGAUCUGGUUCAAGUUCUUUGGAACAAGACAUCAUGGAGGGUGAGAAUCCCGUGCAUGAUCAGACCAAGAUACUUUAUAUUCGUCUUCUAAGAGUCGAGUUGUUUGGGAAUGCAGCUCAAAUUGGGUGGUAGACUUCACCUAAGGCUAAAUAUCAGCGAGAGACCGAUAGCGAACAAGUACUGUGAAGGAAAGAUGAAAAGAACUUUGAAAAGAGAGUUAAAUAGUACGUGAAAUUGUUGAAAGGGAAACGAUUGAAGUCAGUCAUGCUAGUGAAAAUUCAGUUUGACGGGUUUUGGGUUUAGGAGUAAGAGGUAGGGUCAAACCGUCUCUCUUUUAAACUUGGGAUUUGUCGGAUGCACUUUUUCUUUGGCAGGUCAGUGUCGAUUUCGGGGGUUGUAAAAUACUUGGGGGAAAGUAGCUCUGCUUCGGGAGAGUAUUAUAGACCUUGAGAGAUGCAGCCCGUGGGAUCGAGGAUUGCAGCAAAUGCCUUUGGCUUGUCUUCUGAUCUUUGGUUGUUACCUCGUUUAUGACAACAUUCUUGUCAUCGAUGAGUUCUAAUGGUUAUGGGUUAGAAUGAUCAAAAAUUUGCUAAGGAUGC